ACAAUCAUAUCACGUUGAAACACUGAUUCUCGUACAAUCACCGAAGUUAAGCAACGUCGAGCCUACUCAGUACCUAGAUGGGUGACCGCUUGGGAAUACCACG
RNAcentral lists this ribosomal RNA (103 nucleotides) under Acanthosepion pharaonis. Lineage: Eukaryota; Metazoa; Mollusca; Cephalopoda; Sepiida; Sepiidae. The record is from RNAcentral.